UACGUAGAGUGCAAACGUUGUUCGGAAUCACUGGGCAUAAAGAGCUCGUAGGCGGCCGAAAAAGUCGGUUGUGAAAGCCCCUGGCUCAACCAGGGAAUUGCAGCCGAAACUGCUUGGCUUGAGUGUGAGAGAGGAGAGUGGAACUUCCAGUGGAGCGGUGAAAUGCGUAGAUAUUGGAAGGAACGCCAGUGGCGAAAGCGACUCUCUGGCUCACUACUGACGCUGAGGAGCGAAAGCUAGGGGAGCGAACGGG
Molecule: ribosomal RNA, 253 nt
Filed under: uncultured bacterium
Lineage: Bacteria
Description: partial 16S ribosomal RNA
Rfam family: Bacterial small subunit ribosomal RNA
Source: RNAcentral